Molecule: ribosomal RNA, 732 nt
Filed under: Trametes versicolor
Lineage: Eukaryota; Fungi; Basidiomycota; Agaricomycetes; Polyporales; Polyporaceae
Description: eukaryotic LSU rRNA
Rfam family: Eukaryotic large subunit ribosomal RNA
Source: RNAcentral
CCCUAGUAACUGCGAGUGAAGCGGGAAAAGCUCAAAUUUAAAAUCUGGCGGUCUUUGGCCGUCCGAGUUGUAGUCUGGAGAAGCGUCUUCCGCGUUGGACCGUGUACAAGUCUCUUGGAACAGAGCGUCAUAGAGGGUGAGAAUCCCGUCUUUGACACGGACUACCAAUGCUUUGUGAUGCGCUCUCAAAGAGUCGCGUUGUUUGGGAAUGCAGCGCAAAAUGGGAGGUGAAUUCCUUCUAAAGCUAAAUAUUGGCGAGAGACCGAUAGCGAACAAGUACCGUGAGGGAAAGAUGAAAAGCACUUUGGAAAGAGAGUUAAACAGUACGUGAAAUUGCUAAAAGGGAAACGCUUGAAGUCAGUCGCGUCGUCCGGAACUCAGCUUUGCUUCGGCUUAGUGCACUUUCCGGUUGACGGGCCAGCAUCGAUUUUGACCGCUGGAAAAGGGCUGGAGGAAUGUGGCACCUUCGGGUGUGUUAUAGCCUUCAGUCGCAUACAGCGGUUGGGAUCGAGGAACGCAGCGCGCCUUAUGGCUGGGGUUCGCCCACAUUCGCGCUUAGGAUGCUGGCAUAAUGGCUUUAAACGACCCGUCUUGAAACACGGACCAAGGAGUCUAACAUGCCUGCGAGUGUUUGGGUGGAAAACCCGAGCGCGUAAUGAAAGUGAAAGUUGAGACCUCUGUCGUGGAGGGCAUCGACGCCCGGACCUGACGUUUUCUGAAGGAUCCGCGGUA